AGUGAACGCUGGCGGUAGGCCUAACACAUGCAAGUCGAACGGCAGCACAGUAAGAGCUUGCUCUUACGGGUGGCGAGUGGCGGACGGGUGAGGAAUACAUCGGAAUCUACUUUUUCGUGGGGGAUAACGUAGGGAAACUUACGCUAAUACCGCAUACGACCUACGGGUGAAAGCAGGGGAUCUUCGGACCUUGCGCGAUUGAAUGAGCCGAUGUCGGAUUAGCUAGUUGGCGGGGUAAAGGCCCACCAAGGCGACGAUCCGUAGCUGGUCUGAGAGGAUGAUCAGCCACAUGGGAAAUGAGACAGGGGCCAGACUCCUAGGGGAGGCAGGAGGGGGGAAUAUUGGACAAGGGGCGCAAGCCUGCUCCAGCCAUACCGCGUGGGUGAAGAAGGCCUUCGGGUUGUAAAGCCCUUUUGUUGGGAAAGAAAAGCAGCAGGUUAAUACCCCGCUGUUCUGACGGUACCCAAAAAAUGAGCCCCGGCUAACUUCGU
This 491-nucleotide ribosomal RNA is filed under the name uncultured bacterium. RNAcentral describes it as "partial 16S ribosomal RNA". It matches the Rfam family "Bacterial small subunit ribosomal RNA", at positions 29 to 506 of the family's 1533-position model. The record is from RNAcentral.